Molecule: ribosomal RNA, 513 nt
Filed under: uncultured bacterium
Lineage: Bacteria
Description: partial 16S ribosomal RNA
Rfam family: Bacterial small subunit ribosomal RNA
Source: RNAcentral
GACGAACGCUGGCGGCAUGCCUAAUACAUGCAAGUCGAGCGAACAGAUGAAGUGCUUGCACUUCUGACGUUAGCGGCGAACGGGUGAGUAACACGUAAGGAAUCUACCUAUAAGCGGGGGAUAACAUUCGGAAACGGGUGCCAAUACCGCAUAAUAUCUUCUUCCGCAUGGAAGAAGAUUGAAAGACGGCUCUGCUGUCACGUAUAUAUGACCUUGCGGUGCAUUAGUUAGUUGGUGGGGUAACAGCCUACCAAGACGAUGAUGCAUAGCCGACCUGAGAGGGGGAUCGGCCACAUUGGGACUGAGACACGGCCCAAACUCCUACGGGAGGCAGCAGUAGGGAAUCUUCCGCAAUGGGCGAAAGCCUGACGGAGCAAUGCCGCGUGAGUGAAGAAGGCCUUCGGGUCGUAAAACUCUGUUAUAAGAGAAGAACAAAUUGUAGAGUAACUGCUACAGUCUUGACGGUAUCUUAUCAGAAAGCCACGGCUAACUACGUGCCAGCCGCCGCCGUAA